UGAUGACGAGACGCUAAGGCGUUGAAGCAGUGUAUGUCAGACUUCCAAGAAAAGCUCGCAAUGUCACAAAUAAGAAAUGCCUGUACCAUAACCGACACAGGUGGGUAGGUAGAGUAUACUAAGGGGCGCGAGAUAACUCUCUCUAAGGAACUCGGCAAAAUGACUCCGUAACUUCGGGAGAAGGAGUGCCUUAUUUAUAAGGUUGCAAUAACAAGAUCCAAGCAACUGUUUAUCAAAAACACAGGUCUCCGCUAAGUCGUAAGACGAUGUAUGGGGGCUGACGCCUGCCCAGUGCCAGAAGGUUAAAGAAGUUGGUUAGUGUAUGCGAAGCUGAUGACUGAAGCCCUGGUGAACGGCGGCCGUAACGAUAACGGUCCUAAGGUAGCGAAAUUCCUUGUCGGGUAAGUUCCGACCCGCACGAAAGGCGUAAUGAUUUGGAUACUGUCUCGGAGAGAGGCUCGGUGAAAUAGACUUGUCUGUGAAGAUGCGGACUACCUGCACCAGGACAGAAAGACCCUAUGAAGCUUUACUGUAACUUGAAAUUGGAAUUGGACUUUGCUUGCGCAGUAUAGGUGGGAAGCGUUGAAAAUAUUCUUGCGGGAGUAUUGGAGCUAUCAGUGAGAUACCACUCUUGUAAUGUUAGAUUUCUAACUUUGAACCAUAAUCUGGUCAAAGAACAGUUUCAGGUGGGCAGUUUGACUGGGGCGGUCGCCUCCCAAAUGGUAACGGAGGCGUACAAAGGUUUCCUCUGAAUGGAUAGAAAUCGUAUCUAGAGUGUAAAGGCAUAAGGAAGCUUACUGUGAGACCUACAAGUCGAGCAGGGACGAAAGUCGGUCUUAGUGAUCUGACGGUACUGAGUGGAAAGGCCGUCACUCAACGGAUAAAAGUUACUCUAAGGAUAACAGGCUGAUCUCCCCCAAGAGUUCACAUCGACGGGGAGGUUUGGCACCUCGAUGUCGGCUCAUCGCAUCCUGGGGCGGUAGUACGUCCCAAGGGUUGGGCUGUUCGCCCAUGAAAGCGGUACGCGAGCUGGGUUCAGAACGUCGUGAGACAGUUCGGUCCAUAUCCGGUGUAGGCGCUAGAAUAUUGAGAGGAGCCUUCUUUAGUACGAGAGGACCGAGAAGGACACACCGCUGGUGUACCAGUUAUCGUGCCAACGGUAAACGCUGGGUAGCUAUGUGUGGAGUGGAUAACCGCUGAAAGCAUCUAAGUGGGAAGCCCACCUCGAGAUGAGUAUUCUC
This 1241-nucleotide ribosomal RNA is filed under the name metagenome. RNAcentral describes it as "bacterial LSU rRNA". It matches the Rfam family "Bacterial large subunit ribosomal RNA", at positions 1564 to 2815 of the family's 2925-position model. The record is from RNAcentral.